AGUGAACGCUGGCGGUAGGCCUAACACAUGCAAGUCGAACGGCAGCACAGUAAGAGCUUGCUCUUACGGGUGGCGAGUGGCGGACGGGUGGGGAAUACAUCGGAAUCUACUUUUUCGUGGGGGAUAACGUAGGAAAACUUACGCUAAUACCGCAUACGACCUACGGGUGAAAGCAGGGGAUCUUCGGACCUUGCGCGAUUGAAUGAGCCGAUGUCGGAUUAGCUAGUUGGCGGGGUAAAGGCCCACCAAGGCGACGAUCCGUAGCUGGUCUGAGAGGAUGAUCAGCCACACUGGAACUGAGACACGGUCCAGACUCCUACGGGAGGCAGCAGUGGGGAAUAUUGGACAAUGGGCGCAAGCCUGAUCCAGCCAUACCGCGUGGGUGAAGAAGGCCUUCGGGUUGUAAAGCCCUUUUGUUGGGAAAGAAAAGCAGCAGGUUAAUACCCCGCUGUUCUGACGGUACCCAAAGAAUAAGCACCGGCUAACUUCGUG
This 492-nucleotide ribosomal RNA is filed under the name uncultured bacterium. RNAcentral describes it as "partial 16S ribosomal RNA". It matches the Rfam family "Bacterial small subunit ribosomal RNA", at positions 29 to 507 of the family's 1533-position model. The record is from RNAcentral.